Molecule: ribosomal RNA, 468 nt
Filed under: uncultured bacterium
Lineage: Bacteria
Description: partial 16S ribosomal RNA
Rfam family: Bacterial small subunit ribosomal RNA
Source: RNAcentral
GACGAACGCUGGCGGCGUGCUUAACACAUGCAAGUCGAACGGAAAGGCCCUGCUUUUGUGGGGUGCUCGAGUGGCGAACGGGUGAGUAACACGUGAGUAACCUGCCCUUGACUUUGGGAUAACUUCACGAAACUGGGGCUAAUACCGGAUAUGAGCUCCUGCUGCAUGGUGGGGGUUGGAAAGUUUCGGCGGUUGGGGAUGGACUCGCGGCUUAUCAGCUUGUUGGUGGGGUAGUGGCUUACCAAGGCUUUGACGGGUAGCCGGCCUGAGAGGGUGACCGGCCACAUUGGGACUGAGAUACGGCCCAGACUGCUACGGGAGGCAGAAGUGGGGAAUAUUGCACAAUGGGCGGAAGCCUGAUGCAGCAACGCCGCGUGCGGGAUGACGGCCUUCGGGUUGUAAACCGCUUUCGCCUGUGACGAAGCGUGAGUGACGGUAAUGGGUAAAGAAGCACCGGCUAACUACGUG